ACGGAAGGCAGCAGUAGGGAAUAUUGCACAAUGGGGGAAACCCUGAUGCAGCGACGCCGCGUGAGUGAUGAAGUAUUUCGGUACGUAAAGCUCUAUCAGCAGGGAAGAUAAUGACGGUACCUGACUAAGAAGCCCCGGCUGACUACGUGCCAGCAGCCGCGGUAAUACGUAGGGGGCAAGCGUUAUCCGGAUUUACUGGGUGUAAAGGGAGUGUAGGUGGUCUGGCAAGCCAGAUGUGAAAGCCCGGGGCUCAACCCCGAGGACUGCAUUUGGAACUGUCGGACUUGAGUGCAGGAGAGGAAAGUGGAAUUCCUAGUGUAGCGGUGAAAUGCGUAGAUAUUAGGAGGAACACCGGAGGCGAAGGCGGCUUACUGGACUGUAACUGACGUUGAGGCUCGAAAGCGUGGGGAGCAAACAGGAUUAGAUACCCUGGUA
RNAcentral lists this ribosomal RNA (435 nucleotides) under uncultured Lachnospiraceae bacterium. Its description in RNAcentral is "bacterial SSU rRNA". It matches the Rfam family "Bacterial small subunit ribosomal RNA", at positions 341 to 792 of the family's 1533-position model. The record is from RNAcentral. Lineage: Bacteria; Bacillati; Bacillota; Clostridia; Lachnospirales; Lachnospiraceae.